UCAUCAACUUCUCUAUCCAGAAUAAGGUAAUCCAGUUAAUUGCAUUAUCUAAUAUAGAGCUGUAAUCGGAAUGUGCAUGAUAAAGCAGAGAUCGAUUUUGGUUGAGUUUUUUUUGUCUUGGUGGACUUGAUUGAAAUCUUGUUGUUUAUGGUGCAAAAUUAUCUUUUCUUAGUUUCUUCUGUUUUAUGUUAUAGAUUGAUCUUGAGAAGGGAAUGAUGGACUGUUUGUACGCAAAAUGUGAGUUACUUAAACUAUGUUUAGUUUACAGUUAUGCAAUAUUCUUUCUCUUUGUUAACCAUUCAAUCGUUUCGGAUUUGAAGGCACUCCUUGUAUCACGGACUGUGUCAUGGCUGAGCUGGAGAAGUUAGGUCAGAAGUAUCGUGUAGCUCAGUAGCUCUAAGGUGAAAGCUUUUGUUAGACUUCAAAGUAGGAUUUUUCAGUAGAAUUGCAUCAUUUUUGUUGAUUCUUAAUUGGUUACUUUUAAAUUUGGUUAGGAUUGCAAAGGAUCCACGAUUUGAAAGACUACCUUGUGUACACAAAGGGACAUAUGCUGAUGAUUGUCUCGUUGACAGAGUUACUCAGAUAAUGCCUCAGCUCCGGUUUUGUUUACCUUUGUGUCCUGUUUCUCUAAGAAGAUGCUCUGUUUAUGCAUGUAGUCUAAUCUUCUGUUUGUUUCUUUCCUCUGUAAUUUAUCAGCAUAAAUGCUUCAUAGUAGCUACUUGUGAUAGAGAUCUAAAGCGAAGGAUUCGCAAGGUAAAGAUAUUAGUUUGAUAUAUAUGCUUUUUUAAACCCAUGGCUGGAAUCCUUGGAUGUUAACUUUCUUAUUGUUCGUUUAUAGAUUCCUGGUGUACCAAUCAUGUAUGCAACACGACGCAAGUACUCAAUAGAGAAGCUGCCUAAAGCAACAAUCGGUGGAGGUAUGCAUUGUAUCAUCUCUUCUACAGUGAUAUUUGAACAUAAGGUUACUUGGUAUUAGCUUAUUUGAAUUCACUUUUGUGGUUUUUUUUUAUGGUGCAGCUCCAAUAUACUGAUAUAGGAAACGGAACCUAUGUUGAUUCCAAGAAUUUUGAGAAGCCUAAGUUAGUGUUGGUUUAAGCUGCGAAUCAAAUGAGUAAGAAAGGUUGUGUUAUGUGAUAUUGAGCCAUUUGUGUUCAAUCUCUGGCGAAAUCUGUCUGUUUGAUAUUGUUAUUGUACUUCUAAGCAUUUAAGUCCAUUAUUUUCUCAAGCUCUUGCAGAAUCUUGUUGACUUGGUUGUAAAUUGGCGUGAAAAAUUAAGAUAACAUGCGUGCAAUCAUUAUAAGAUCAACAAAAGAUAAAAACUAAACAUCAUUGUCAACAAUUACCAUAAGGGCGAAAGAUCUUGGACAAAUCACUUACAUCUACUUCAUUUUACCAAAAUAAGAGCUAAACAGCAUCGUCAACAAUAACCAUAAGGGCUAAAGAUCUUUGACAGAUUACUUUAUUUUACAUCUACUUUAUUUUACCAAAAUAGGAGCUUAGAGGUCACUCGUUUUUUUUUUCACUGAAAUGAUUAUAUCUAUACUAUUAAUUGGGAAACAUUGGAUAAUAAAUAACCUUAUAAAGUGUAAAUAAUUACAAAGGAUGCCAUUGAGAUUUUUGCAUUUUAAGACAAUUAAAAAGAUUUCGUCGGAGGGUAAAAUGGCCAAUUUGAUGCUCACUUCAACGCGGAUCUUGGAUUUCGGGCCGGAUCUAGAUCCAUAGUGAUUUGGUAAAACACGCGGAUCCUGAAACGUGGGGAUUUGGAUCAAUAAUAAUUGCGAGUGUCAUCUUAAUGGGCUUAGGAGAUAAAGGUCUUUCUUAUGCUCGCAAACUUAUGUUUGAGAUCUGCAGAAAUAUGAAGUUUGAACAAAUUAGAUUCAAUAACUUAAAAUAUAUUUCUAUAAUAAGCAAAUUCCAUAUAUUGUGAUUAGUAAAUAAGAACAAAUCUCUUUAUAUUCGAAUCCAGUUAUUACUUUUUUUACCAAAAAUAUCAAAAUCAAUAAAUUCAAAUUUGAUUUAAUCACUUAAACGGUUUUUCGUUACCAAAAAUAUCAAAAUCUUUUAAUUCAAAUCGGAACAACUGACGCAUAUACCUUAACAAUCUUUAUUCGCAAAUAUUCUCUUUGAUAUGAUUUUCUAAACCCUAAAAAAUAUGUAGCCGACUUUGAAUUACUAUAAAUAUAGGAUGUGAAAUGCCGUAGAAGAUACUCACUCACCUUUUAAAGCGAGAACUCUUCUCUUCCUGUUCCUUCAAAGAAUAUGGCAGCACAGCUUGCAUCGACCGAUCUUGCUAACAUCAAACCUUUCAAAACAGGAUGGAGAAUCCAAGUUAAAAUCAUGCAUAUGUGGUCUCAAUACACACAAUACACUGAGAAAACAAUGGAAAUGAUUCACUCUUAUACAUAUGUAAGUAUAGAUUCGAUUUUCACUAAAUCUUAUACUCUUUACAGUCUUAUAAUUAUCAUUAAAAGAUCCUAUUAUUAACACGAUUUUAUUCUCUUCAAUAUAGGGUACUUUGAUUCAUACUACUAUUAAGAAACAACAAGUGAACAUGCUUCAUAGGUUCAUCAAAUCUGGAGUGCAGUAUUGUGGAAAAUUUUAUACUUACAGGGCAAUCAAACAUGUGUUUAAAAUGUAUAACAUAAUGCUGAGCAACUCGAUGUGCAACAAAACGCAUGUACGAUGUUGGAAAAGGCAGGAAUUCUAACUGAAGUUGCUCAGGGUUUUGAAAGAACUUCUGUAUAUCAAUCUCCAUCCACAAAACUAAAAGUUACACCAACCAACAAAAAAAACAACUUUUUUAUCACCAUCAACCACAUUUUAAGAGAAUCUUUUGUAGAUAGAAAAAUUAAAAUUCAACAUAAAAAGAAAGUGUUGAAACUAGAGGAUAAGAGACUUAUAAAUAUGCAAACGAGCUUAGAGAGGAUCACAUCAGCCAAACGGUUAUGCAAAUAAGAGUGAUUUGAAUACUCAAGCUUCAAUGUUCAUGUUGCCUAUGAAACAAUCGUGAUCAUGAGGAUUCUGAUUGAGCUAAAAAUACAAGUGACUAUGAUUUGGGUCAUAGAGCAAUCAAGAGGAUUGUUAAUAGUCAUGGAUCUAAUCAAACCCUAAUCACCAAAGCAUAAACCAUAGAAUUGAACCAAACACCCCAAAAAAUGAUCGAGGAUUAGAGAAACUAAUAAUUGUCCCCCCCCCCCCCCAAUUCUAUGAAACCCUAGCACACUACCACGAAAGGGAAAUGACCAAAAUCAGAUCAAACCAAAAAGAGAGAAAGCAAAAUCGAAUCGUGGGUAAGAAAGAAAAUUGACUAAACUGGUGAGACGAUGGCGAGGAUUCUGAAGAGCCUCGACCAAAAAAGGAUCUACCAUAGCUUCCUUCUCGGUCAUAGCAGCCAUAGAUGAAGAAAAGAUUUGUAUCUCUUACCUCUGCUAUGUCUUAUAAAUCCUUUGUUCUAUAUCUUUGAUUUUCUUGUCUCCCUUCACCAGAGAUUAGAAGAGAAAACACAUCAACGAAACAAAGGGGAGAUAAUUUCUGAUGAGCUUUCUGUGAGAGAAAGAAUAAAAAUAAAGUUGCUUCCUUUGAGUUUUUUUUUUUUUUUUUUUUUUUUUUUUUAAUUCAUUCAUUAGUCUGUGUGUUGUGUUUUUUGUAGGUUAAGUGGGUUUUGUAAAGUUGAUUUGGUUGAAUCAUAAAGUGUAAAAGUUUUACUCUAUUUUAUACUUUUGGUUGGUGUCCCAUUUCAUUUUUCCAAGGUGCAUCGUUAUGUACAAUUUUGUCAAACAAUAUCAAUGCACCGAAAAACAAAGUAUCUACAAUUAGUGUGGAAAAUGUUGCAGUGUCAUAUUAGAAGUAAGAUCGAACCUUACGUAAUAUACUUAAUAAUCUUAAAUUCAUGAUAUUAUAUUGUCUAAAGUCUAAACUAAAGCUACUAAUUCAUGGUUUUAGAUUCAGUUCAAGUGUGAUUUACUAUGUUUUGUGGUUUGCGGUCAAUUCUCUCUGAUUAUUUUUCAUUAGUAAAUUUCCAAAUGAGACACAUGACAUCUAUAUAAUCAAUCCAUUGGAAAUUUAGAAUGCCAAUCCUUUAGUAAUAAGAUACCAAAGAUUUUGUUGAUUCUAUAUAGGCUGAAUAUUUUUUUAGCCAACCAGGGGUUUAAAAUUCUUUAUUUGCUAUAAGACAAGAGUUGUUAAAACAUUUAUCUGUCCAAAUAAAAAUAAAAUAAAAUUCAGUAAUAUAUUUAAUACAAAAAAUAUAUCAAAUAGAGAAAAUGUGUUCAAGAGUCUUAGGAAUUGGGUCUAUAUGUAUUUCAGCCCAAACAUAAUUUUAUAAACAAUAAUAUUGCAUUACUAAAUAAAUAAUUUUAGUCAUUUUAAAAUAAAAUAUUCUGAAAAAACAAAAUUUCUGUUAUAACAAUUACAGGCCUGAAAUCUGCAAUUGUCCAAAUUAUUUAUCAUUCACCAAUACCAAAUUAUUAAUUUAUAUAAAACACUUAGAAUGAUGUAAAUAAAAAUCUUUUAUUUACUUAUCUUUGUAUUCAAAAUUUAUAACUAAUCAAACUGAAAACGUUUGUGCACCAGAGUUUAUUUAAAACUCAUAAUAUAAUUUUGCAAUCAAUUUUCUAAUAUCUAUAGUCUACAUUAUUAUUUAAUUAUUAUUUUAUUUUGAUACUAGGAGAUUCUGGGCCAAAACCCGUAAUCUUCCAGACCCGAAACCACAUCAUGUAAUAUUAGUUUUUUUUUUUGAAUAUCUAUAGUCUACACUAUUAUCUAUUAUCUAAUUCACUACAAAACAAAAAACAAUUUCUUUAAAUACUACUUAAAAAACUAAAUUGAAUAUAAAUUUUAUAUAACAUAUUUCUUAAAAUAUGAAACCCCGCACGUACGUGCGGAUCAGGAUCUAGUUGAUGAUUAGAAAAGCAUGUGGUGGGUCAUUUAGGGUUUAGGCAAAAAUAUAAAGAUUUUUAGGGUUUAGGCAAAAAUAUAAAGAUUUUUUAGGGUUUAGGGAUGAGCAUGUGGUGGGUCAUUUAGGGUUUAGGCAAAAAAAUUCCGUGUAAAAGCCCAAAGAUCUGAUCAUACGGCCAAGAUUAAUUCUGUUUUUUUUUUUUCUCAAUCUAACUGACAGAAUCUUUUUUUCCAACUUAAAUAAUUAAUAUACAAAGACAAAACAAUAAUUGCUCAGUCUAGAUGGCCUCACAUCAGUUUAUAUAUAUCUUUAUAUAUAUAUAUAAAGAUAAUAAUACAAAAGUCAUCAUGAUUAAUUUAGUUAGUCCUCGAAAACCAAAACUCGCUUGUUCUUUUUUUUUUUAUCUGAUUGACAAGAAAAUAACUUUUGUUAUAGCCUUAUAGGUGUGAGAGGAACUGAGGAAGAUUCAUUCUACAUCAAUCAAUAAUUAUUUAAACUUUUGUUAUUUAUAUUAAUUAUUUAAACUUUUGUUAUUAAUAUUAAUUAUUUAAACUCUUACUAUUUAGUAUUUACAAACAUAUAUGACUUCUCUUCUGCUAGAGCUCGCACUCCCUCCUUGUCCAAAUCGAUGCAUGUAUACUUUUCUAAUCUUUGUAUAAUUAGUGAGUUUAUUAGUUAAGAAAAAUAAGCUACGUAAAUAAUUAGAAAAAUUCACAUUUGAAUCUUACUUUCUAGCUAGUUAGAUGAUACAAACUAGAAGAUUCAUAGAAAAAUGUAAGGUAAGUAAGGGAAUUGGCGUAACACAUGGGAUCAGGAGGGACAUUGCUAUUAAACUCAAUAUUUAGUAACUUCUAAUCACCCAAACUUCAAUAACAUAAGAUGAGACUGAAGGAACUAAUCCAAGACCAGAAGAAUAGUGACCUAUGUUUCCAUGCCUAACGUACGUACUCGUGAAGAAACAAAUAAAGCGUCAGAAAUGAUAUAAGUCGAAUAGUUUGCAAAUUGCAACUAUUCAAACACACGCACACACACGUAUUAGGGAGAUAACUCCAGGAUCCAUGCAGUAGUCAGUUAUCAGCAAAACAUUUUGAGUAUAUUUGCCUAAUGAAAUAAACCUUAUGGUAAUAAGUAUUUUGGAUGUUUCCUUGGUUUACCCGAAGUUAUAAUUAAUUUUCUCCUUCUAGCUCUUUGUUUCUUUUUUAUAUAAAUCCAACUUAACAAUCUAUUGACUCAAAUACACAAUUGUCAAUUGGUGUUCAACACUACCAAGAAACAUCUAUAUGUAUACUUCACUGUUACCUACCUCAAUUCAUGUCAUUAAAAAAAAAACAAGAGAAAAAGUGUUUUAAAAUUUCAAUAAAUCAACAGAGAAGCAAAGGCAAAGUUGAUAGCUUGGGGAAGGUCAGUGGUGUUUCACUUGUAUGGCUAACCAAUUUUUACGGUCAGAAGAAGUUGAUAACCAAUUACUGUUAUUUUUUUUUUGUGGUCACUGUUAAUUACAAGUAUGUACAGUGUACGUGAUAACAUAGGACUCGACAUUGAGUAGUGGAUGUCCAAUCAGACCAAUGAGAAAUCGAAAACACAUCCUAGAAACCAACUCUGGUUGGAGUAUUUCCUUGCCCAAAACCAGGUUUUAGCUUUCUUUUAAGAAGUGACAUUGUCUUGUUUCUUACUUUAUUUAAACAACGUAUAAUAAUAAAGGCAAGAAAACUUAUUAGAGCAUGUGCAGUGGGGCAAGCAGGUGGGUGUGAGUCUUGGGGUGUAGGUAUUAAAAAAACGAAAAAAUUGUCUCUCUCUUCACAUCCGGGUGUAAGUUUACACUCGGGUGUAACACUUUUUUUCUCUAUCUCUCUCUUUCUUUCUCUUUCUCUUUUCUCUUCUACUUUAAAUUAUAAUACUAAAAAAAUAUUUACAUUCACACAAACACAUUUGCAACUGCUGCUGAUGGUCUUAUUAUAUAUUCAUCAAGGACAACCAAAUAAAUCACAGAGAAAGAAAAAAAAAGUGGGUUUGAAGAGAUAAUCAACUAGGGAACCAAAUCCUAUGGAAAAACUCAUACUUAAAAGAACAAAUUCGAAGCAUAAAUUUGAAACCCUAGACCAACACAAACGUUUUUAUGUCCCUAUAUAUGCAUAUUUAGUUUCGCCUUUCACAAUUAUUUGAUGACCGAGCUAGUUUUAUAUACCCAGAAUCUGAUCGAUUAAGUAGUACAUCUCCCAUUUACGUUCUCGAUGGCUUUAUUUUUCAAAAGCUUUCCGCAUUUUUUUUUUUAGUUAAUAGGCUUUACAGAAACGAAACACAGUUACAAAAAAGGGAAACAAAGACCUAAUCUUCACCGGCGGCGAGGCUCUGUACCUGCUGAAAGACCUGACGCAUCGGAGUAUAAAGCAAUUCCGGCGAAAGCAAAACCAACGACAUUGCGGUAGAGACUCCGGAGAGGAACAAUGGCCAAAAGCUUUCGGAUUUCAGCGCCGGAUCCUCGCCAUCGUCACACCGAACCCGUCACGGAUCUUCCGGUCUGCUCAACACCUCAGACGACAGGCUCUACCAAUGUAUGUCCCAAACCUAGUAACCAUACACACUGGGAACUAACCCCUCCCCGCCAGAUCCGAACAUCGCUGAGAACCCCGAACAAGUAGACCAGCUUUCCGUCAUUGCAUAUAUAUAAUGUACAAAGCUAUUAAUUAAUCUGGGAAGAAAAUGAAAAAUUGGUAGGAUAUCUUUAGCUCACGUAUAUCUGAACGCAUAUUUAUUAUUCUUUUUUUUUUUUGACGUCUAGAUUUAUUAUUUAUUGCAAAUUAUGAGAACUGUUACAUAGACGAUUCUACAACGGACAAUUCCUUCCGACCCUUAUUAGAUCCACGACAGACGACACUUCUUUCUCCAUGCUCUUGACGGACACCUUCAAUGAUCCACGACCUAACGACACUUCUCUCUCUGCAUAGAAUCCUGGCGAACGGACACCUUCAAUGAUCCACGACCUAACGACACUUCUCUCUCUGCGUAGAAUCCUGGCGAACGGCUAUAAUUGUACUUCGCUGGAGAUUUCCUGCACACUUGUCUCAUUUAAUCUGCAAAUUUAUUAAUAAAUCGCAAUAUCUGGGACUCGAACCCCAGACCUCUUGGUGUAGAAGCAUUAAUUAACCCUUGGUCAACCAAUGGGCCAAGGGGGCUUCCACCGCAUAUUUAUUAUUCAGAUCCUAAAAGCAAGGGAAUAAAUUAAAAUAAAAAAAAAUUAAAAAAAAAUUUGGUUUUGACAGGCUGAUAUUACUUUUUUUUUUUUUUUUUUUGCCAAACGAUAUUACGUAAUCAUUGUUUAGUGCGCGAAAGCAAGAAUCUCUAGAGCUCGCUUUUUAAUUUAGCCUCUCGUUGUGCUUUAUCCCCAUUUAAGUAAAAAAUAUUGAUAAGUUGUCUCGAAACAAGCGAAAAUCUUAUUUAGUUAUUGAUAUAUAUAUUGAUAAGACGCAGUCAUCACCAUGACGGGCCCUAGGUCGAAAUUGACAAGGCAAGCAUGACUUUUCUUCUCCACACUAGCUAGAGAAAUGCCAGCACUGAACCAUGCAUCAAGUGGUAUCUAACGACUAGCUAGGGGACUUUUAACGUACUUUUAAUGGGCGCGGUUAUAUUUUCUCAGUAAUUAUCUGAUUCUUCUAGCUAAUCAUAUUCAAAAUUGCCAAGCAAGAAAUAUUUUUCAGUUAUACAUGUCACUAAUUAAUCUCCCAUGGCGAUCCAAGAGUCUAGUUAGGCAAUUACAUGGAGUGUCUGAGACCACGAAACAAAUAGUGAGAUUUAUGACGGAUUCUUACGUACUAUCGUGUCAUUGUUCUAUAUAUGACAUGUACAGACAUGUUCAUGAUCUUUUUGUUUCUCAAACGUUUCUUGGACUUGACAAUUCUACACAUUAAUGUACUAUUGUGUCAUAUUUAGUUCUAUCUCGCAGACACUCGAAAGACGCGCGUAUGAAAAGACGAAUUAUUAGGAAUUAAAAAUUUAAAUCUCACGUUGGUUAUUACAAUUCUAAUUGUUUUACGUAUUAAUAAUAUCGUGACAUUUCUAUGAUCUGUUUGUUUGUUUCUUUUUCCCCUUACAAAUCUCUUGUACAAUUGGCAAUUAACACAACCUAAAGCAUAACUUUGGCUUGCUUUUGUUUAUCGACAUUAAAUUAUAGUCUUGUUUCUUUUGUUUGGGUUGUGUCAUUAUGUGACGUGAACAAAUAAUAAUAAUAUCGAGGCUUUAAAGUUUUUAAUUAGGAAACUAAUCCUUUUAUUAAAGCUGAAAAAGGUAGAAUUUAAUAUACAAUCAUAAUUUCCAAAUGGAUAGUGAGAAUAUUUACUAACCGACUCAAAACUACAACUUCCAUUAAUAUUUUGACUCAAUCCCACAUUUCCUGUUCUUAUAUAAUCAACUUUCUGAUAAUAAAAAAAAACUUGAUUAUAUAUGACAAAAAAAACUUUCUGAUAAAGAUAAAUGCAAACAAACUAAAUUCUUUUGGCCGCGUAUUAUAAAUCCCACACUUCCUAAAUUGUGUAGUAGUCUCCUACUGAUCUUUUGUUAUCUUAAGGUGAGAUCAUUGAAGUAAAAGUGAAUGAUCAAGGCGUUGUAGGAGAAUGUCUGAUAACCUUGGAUACUUUUGGAGUAGGAGAAGCAGGGAUUGUCAGUAUUCAGUGGGAUAAUCCAACUCUUGUAAUAGCUUAGUAGGCUGUCAUGCUUGUGGGUCACGACGAGUCGACGAACCUUUGUUGUUUCAAUAGAAAAUGAUCACUUUGGGAAAAAAAUAAAAAAUAAGAUACAAUCAUUAUUGUUAUAUGAACUUUCUAGCCAUAUUUGUUUUGUUUUCCACGGUGACCAGAUCGUGACACAUGAAGUGUUUAUUUGCAUAGCCAAUAUGCUACAUAUACUUCGUAAAAGUCAAAGAAAUGUUAUUAAAUAAUACCUUGAUACCUUACAACUAUUUUAAAAAAAAAAUGUAUUAAGAUGAUUUGCUACCAAGUUGUAUAACUAAAUAGAGAGUGAAGAGAGACGACUAAUACAACUGGAAAUAUAUAAGGUACAAAGUUAUUACUAUAAAAGAGAGAGAGAGAGAGAGAGAAUCACUUAAUCCACUUUUCAAAAUAACAUGUGUAAACUCAGUCACCUAGUGGUGUAAAAAAUCGUGUGGGAUUGUAAAUUUUGGAAUUCAAAUUCGAAACAAACAAGAACAAAGAAAAUAUUAAGUCUUCACGGCUUCACGCCACCAUUCACUAAAAUAAUUUUUUUUUUUUAAAGACAGCAACGUACGUACCUUGAAAAGAAAUAAUAUGCAGAAUGAAAACAAGCAAUUCAAAACAACAAAGAAGAUAUUAAUCGUGUUCACACUAGAUAGUCAUUUUUUUAAGUCACCAACUCCCCUUUGAUUCUUCCUAUCAGGGUGUAAAUGGAAGUGGAUCAGCAGCAAAAAACCAGUCACCAUGUGUCCGUCGCCUCUCCAAUUCUUCAAAAGUUGAAUCGGUGAAGUCGUUCUCGAUGUGAAGAGUAGCACGCAUCUCAGAGACCUUUUUGCUGUUGAUAUUCUUCACAACAGUCGAUGCUAUCAAAUCAACAAGGAUGCGGAUAUUCAAGUACAGAGCGGCCUAAAAGAGAUGAUUCAACAAAUUAUCGAUAUGAAAAGGAAAAGACACAAAUUUGGGAAACCAAAUGGAGGGAACAGACCUCGCCAAGAUCCAAGAGGCUCUUGGAAUCAUCCUCCUUUUUUAAGAAAACUUCAGCAAACCAUUUCUCGGAAGGAUUGGUUGCUUUGGCGUGCAACGUGCAGAAUCUGGUGAUCCUUCUGAAGAUUGCCAUUGUGAAAGGAACCUUAAACUUCACGGGAGAUCCCGCCUCAACUUGCUCACUUUUAAGGAGUAGAGUGGCUCUGAGAUACCCACUCAAAGCAAUUACCUCUUUGUUGGGCGAACAAGUCUUUUUAUCGGACGUUGUAAAUUCUAUACCCCUGGACCCGGUUUCCGGAAGAGGGAGACACCUACGCGCUUGAAUGUCACUGGCCAAAGGAGAACACGCCUUGGAAGCUAAGGCAAAACCCAUAUAGCUCUGAUCGUCAAGCUUGGGGAUCAAGCGCUGAAAUAGAAAUGGCAACGCAAUCAAUAUUGGAAAGAUGUGAAGCCAUCCGCCGCAGGAAGAUUAUAGCCAUGCCCAUUGUAAUUUUAAUUUGUACCUCAAGGAAAGGCUUAAUUUGUUUCAGGUGCUUCUUGUUACGAAGCUUCACCUCCGCCCUUUUCUCGUUACGAGCCACUUUGGCAUCGUUACGAGCCUUUUUAGCAAGGUUUUCUUCCUUUGCUUUGGCUUUCUGCAAAUUUAAAAUAGUAAAUCAGGAGUAAAUUCCUUAAUAAUCUUGUAAAGAGAAACAAAACAAAUUCAUAAUAGCAUUAGAAUUGCCUGUAGGUCGCUUCGAUAUGUCUCGGCCAUUAAUUCCGGAAUUCCUCCUUUCUUAAUAUUCUGUUCUGAAUGAUCGUGAAUAAGAUCAAAGAAUAUACUGUUCUUCAUCCCCAUCCUUCUGAUCAGAGCACUUAGGUGUAGAAAUCGAAGGUACUCCGAAGCCUACACACCACAUAGGUGUACAAAUCCAUGAAAUUUGAGCAAUAACCCGAUAAUAUAGCAGAAAGCAAAAAAAUGUAAUCCAAAACCUAAGAGUGUCCUAUAAAUGAAAAUCCGAUAAGCACAUACCUUGUAAAGGUCGAAGAGCUUCUUAGGAUCUUCUUCUUCUUUGCUGAAUUCCUCGCGGAUCCACUUCUCAUCCUCAGUGGAGAAGGGUUUGUCGGGAUCAGAUUCGGGUUGAUAGUUGCGCUUCACGCAAUAGGUAACAAGCUUCCUCAUGAUUUCACUAGAGACAUCCAGAGUACAAAAGAUUUUGGAAUCGGAUGAUUUCUUAACAAUUUCUGAAAUCUUUCUGGAUACUUUAGCUAGUGAACAAGGAUCAAGGAUUUCAACAACUGAGUCAUUGCAAGUUAUGUUUACUUUUGCAGACUCUCCUCCAGUCAUGAUAGAUGAUUCUACAGGGAGAGAAAAACCUAACAGAGAAAGGAAAAAAUCAAAGCGGAGAGAUUAUUAGGUUAAAAUCGCGACCUAAUAAACGUAGAGAGUCGAGAGGAUCAUAUUUGUUUACAGAAGAAAAUGGAAGAUCGUUACUUAGGGACGAAGAUCGUUAGGGUUUGAGAUAGAUAUAGAAAGACGAGCGAGGAAGUGAAAGGCGCUUUUGAUUUGCAGGUCGAGUCAGACACAGUACAUAUAAGAGAAGAGUGAGAAGAGAAAGACCUAGGUUUUUCGACUCUUUCUAUCUCUUUCCGUUUUCCGUACGCCAGCUGAAACCCAGGCCCAUUAUGUUACUUCUAAGCCCAUCAUAAAAGGUAUUUUCUUUCUUUUUUUCCUUUUUACUGUUCCUUUCCCUUAUUUAGUUCAUGUGUAUUUAUUCUUGGGUUUUUACCUUGUAGAAAACAAUAUUCCAUAAACAUACACUAUAAUAAUUGUUUUAUCUAUUUCUACCUUAAUUAAUUUUAUCUUCUAUUUAAAUACAUAAAUUUCUAUUUUCUACCCUACACUUUUUUUUUUAUCUUUCAACAAAAAAAAAUCGUUUAAUGUCGGUUUUCAGAUCGUUAAAAAUAUCCGCUUAAUUUUUUUAACACACACAUUUUUAAAUUACAAAAACCAAUUUGAUGAUACCAAAAUAAAAUACACAUCAAUUAAAUAGGAAAACUAACCGGAAAAAAAAGUUAGAUAUACUAAUUUGCCUAUGUAUUUCUAAAAAGGUUGGAUUUUUUUUGCUAAUCUAGAAAGAGAAAAAAAAAACACACACACACACACAAUAUUAAUAUGUACAUGUUUAUAUCUAAUACUUUUUAAAUUUCUUUUCACUCACCAAUUUUUUUUUUUUAAAGUGAAGCAGAAAAACAAAUUUCUUACAAAUUAAUAUGGAAAUAUGGAAAGGGAGACUCACAAAAAUGCCCCUUUUUCAAUACCCAUUUUCAAAAAUGCCUCAUUUGGCUGUUCAUUUUUAAAAAUACCUCUUUUUAUGUACAAAAUGACUAAAUUACCCUUCUUUUAAUAAAAGAUAUCACAAAUAUAUAAGAAAAUAUAACAAAAUUAGCUCUACAAAAUACAAAAUAUUUUUUGGCGGGAAAAGUGAUCCCGCAAUUUUUCCCACCAAAACACUUGUAAAACCUUUAAAAUACCUUGUAAAAUUUUCCCGUAAAAUUUUUGCCCGCCAAAAUUUUUUUUUGCGGGAAAAGUGAUUCCACAAUUUUUUUGGCGAAAAUAAUUUACAAGGUAUUUUAAAGGUUUUUUACAGGAUAUUUAUAAGGUUUUACAAUGUAUUUUAAAAGGUUUUACAACGUAUUUAUAAGGUAUUUAUAAGAUAUUAUAAGAUUUUAUAAGCUAUUUUAUAAGGUUUUACAAGUUAUAAGGUUUUACAAGUUUUUUAGGUUUUACAAGUUAUAAAUAUCUUAUAAAACCUUAUAAGUAUAUUGUAAAACCUUUUAAAAUACAUUGUAAAACCUUACAAAACACUUGUAAAUACUAUGUAAAACCUUUAAAAUACCUUGUAAAUUUUUCCCGCCAAAAAAAUUGCGGAAUCACUUUUUCCGCAAAAAAAAUUUUUGGCGGGAAAAAUUUUACAAGGUAUUUUAAAGGUUUUUACAAGUGUUUUGGCGGGAAAAAUUGCGGGAUCAAUUUUCCCGCCAAAAAAUAUUUUGUAUUUUGUGGACCUAAUUUGUUCAAAAAGGGUAAAAUGGUCAUUAAAAAUUUAAAAAAGACAAACUUAAAAAUGGACUCUCAAAUGAAGCAUUUUUGAAAAGGGAUAUUGAAAAAUGGGCAUUUUUAACAAUUUCUCAUAUGGAAAUGCUUUGUUUUUUUUAUUUAUGGAAGAGCACAAAAGCAGAGCACACGUAUUGUUGCUAUUUCCUCCGAUCCGAGCUAGCUUAUUUCACUAAAUCAGAAUUUGACUAUUUGGUGCUCAGAACCUGGGAUUUUGUCCCGGUGAAAACAGGAUUUUGCAGAUAAUGAAGGAAACAAACCAUGAUUUAAUGUCUCAAACUAUUUUACACUGUUAAUUAACAACAAUCUCUCACACUCAAAAUCUGUCUAGCAUUCUGAGUUUUUACUAGACACACCAAUCAACCUUUGUGUUCGUUAAAGGCUUUGUUGAAUAAUUCUUAUCUUCAUAACUUCAUUCACGGGAAGCAGCACUUCAAUCUCUGUCAAGACACAAGGGACCAUGAUUGUUUUGAUUUUUUUUUAAUACAAAAUGUGGAGCUUUAUCAUCGAAACGUUAUCUAUAGACAUUUCAGUCACCUGUCUUUCGACCUCCACAACAGAUGCUUGAAGCCUUCUUUUCAGGACAGAUCUCUCUUCUUCACAGCUCUCCAUUUUAGUGUCUGAGAAACAAGAUUAUACGAACUAAACCUGUGAAUUCUCCAUGUAAAUGGAUCUCUGCUUGUUUGAUUAAGAGUACUAAUACAGAUUCUUAGUUGUCAGCAUCAAAUUUUAGGGGAAGAACUUAUCAGAAAUAUUCACCGUCGUCAUAGUAUGUUGAUCUGCUCCGUUGGCUGCAAAAGAGAAGGUAAAAGAAUUACCAAAGCUGAAAAAAAUCUCGAGUGCUAUUUACAACGAUUAAAAACCCGGCCUUAGAAGGCUAGUUGUCUUGGAGACAUACCAUUAUGAAAAUCCCCUCUCGGCGAGUGGGAACUUCUUCUAGCUUCCUUGAUGUUUCAUCUCCUUUAGUAACUUUACCAAACGCAGCAUACCGUUGAAUACCGCCAGUCUUAUUACUAGUCUUCUUAAAAAUUGAGGAGCAUCACCAAGAAGCAUCAAAAAUGAAGAUUGUGCACUGUUUGGAUCAUCAUAUCUACACAGAGAGGCAAACAUCACCUUGAAAUGAUCUUCACCAUAAAGACACGAACACAAUAAAGGAGGGACAUUCAUAGAAAACGUAUAAACAAACCGAGCUACUCACAAAGAUCUAAAGAUACGUACAUUCCCAUGGAAAGAGUAUAUCUCACAUACUUAGUAUCACUGAGAUCUCAAAAUAUUGUCUUAUCAGCUUCGUUCCUGUGCUCAUCAGUCGGCACUGAAUUAGCAAUCUGACCUGGCGAUCAAGAUGAGGAUCAUUGCCAAGACGCAUCGAAAACGAAGAUUGUGCCAUAUCUACUGAACAAAAACAAAACCACGGAGAGGCAAAACGUCACCUAGCCAUAAUCUUCAUCAUAAAGACAUGAACACCAAAAAAAAGGGACAUCCAUAGAAAACAUAGAAACAAACCAAGCUACACAAGUUCGAAAAAUAUAUACCAUCCCAUGGAAAGAGUACCUCUCACAUGCUUGACAUCACUGAACUCUCCCACAAUUGUCUUUUAAGCUUCUUUCCUUUGCUCCUCAUUCAUUGGAGCUGAUCGUCCAUUCGCAACAAAACCUUUAUCAACCUGCAAAAUGACUCACACUCAAACCCUUCUUCCAAAAAAGUGGCUAAAGAUACAAAAUCAAAUCAAAGCUUGAGCCUUUAAGUCAUAUACCCUGAAGAAAUGAUUAGUGUUGUAGCCUCCUAAACGAACAAGCUUGAAGAUAUGGUCCACUGUCUUCGGUGCAGCAGUGGGAUAGAAACCGAUAUCUCCAUAACUAGUCUGCACAACCAUUAUCAUCCAUUCCACAUACCAUUAACAAAUUUCAAGUUCCUAGAACAUAAAUUUGUGUAGAAAGUGAAAGAAAACUGAAAUCGAUUUUACACAAAUUCAAAUUGAGAUUUUGAUCCUGAAGACUAUAAAUCAGAAAUUCACAAUGAAGUUUCUUUUAACCACAAUCAUAUCCAAUAUUGGCAUGAAAUAGCACUAGGGUUCAAAGUUAGCAGAGAAGAGGAGACGAGGGAUGAACCUGGAAGACGACACGAGCCGAACCAAGUUCUGGUUCAUGAGAUAGAGCUUUAACAAUGGAGACAAAGGCUAAACAAGCCAAACCCACGAUCAAGAUUCUCAUGUUUCCCAUUUGUGUUUAGAAGUUGGCGUCGAUCUGAUCAAAGAGAGUUUGAAGGCAACACCGGCAGAUAAAUUUGUUUUCUGUUCGUCGUGAAUCUUUUACCCGUCGAAGACGAUAACCGGGGAUCGUAGUGGGCCUAAUGUAUGCGUAAUUAUGGCCCAAUCUUAUUUUCUCGUACACCAUUGUUCUACUUACUAAGAUAACUAAUGUUACACNNNNNNNNNNNNNNNNNNNNNNNNNNNNNNNNNNNNNNNNNNNNNNNNNNNNNNNNNNNNNNNNNNNNNNNNNNNNNNNNNNNNNNNNNNNNNNNNNNNNUGCUCUCAAGUAAUCUUCCUAGUGUCAUGACCGGAAAGAAAAUAAGUUUGGGCCUUAAUUAAGCAAACAUUAGGCCCACUACGAUCCCCGGUUAUCGUCUUCGACGGGUAAAAUAAGUUUGACACCUUUCGGAAAAAUGGAAGAUGUAAACGGUUCCGAUCGAUUCUCCUUCGAGAUCAAACAGCCCUACGUUGAAGAACGGUUGGAUAACAACAAGAAACGGGAAGAGGUAGCUGUAGAUGCGGUGAGUUUCGUGGCGGAGACUGAAAAUGGGAAGGAGGAGGUCAAUUUUGUGCCGAAGAAGCUUAUAAUUGUUGUCACACCAACGUAUAAUCGAGCGAUGCAGGCGUAUUACUUGAACAGGAUUGCUCAAACGCUGAGACUUGUUGAGUCGCCUGUGCUGAAGAAUAUUAUUACGAAAAAAGGACAAUUGUUCCCGAAAGGCGUAGGCCUGUUAACGGAGCGGAUAUCCUGUUUUUUUAGGAUAUCCGUAUCCGUAUUAUCCGUGAUUUUAGUAUCCGUAUCC
Molecule: long non-coding RNA, 16729 nt
Filed under: Arabidopsis lyrata
Lineage: Eukaryota; Viridiplantae; Streptophyta; Magnoliopsida; Brassicales; Brassicaceae
Description: long non-coding RNA (ALYR_LNC003089)
Source: RNAcentral